CGGUAUGCUUAACACAUGCAAGUCGAACGCGAACGUACCUUCGGGUGCUAUUAGAGUGGCGGACGGGUUAGUAACGCGUAGGAAUCUGCCCAGUAGUGGGGGACAACAUGUGGAAACGCAUGCUAAUACCGCAUACGCCCUACGGGGGAAAGACUUCGGUCGCUAUUGGAUGAGCCUGCGUCAGAUUAGCUAGUUGGUAGGGUAAUGGCCUACCAAGGCGACGAUCUGUAGCUGGACUGAGAGGUCGAACAGCAACACUGGGACUGAGACACGGCCCAGACUCCUACGGGAGGCAGCAGUGGGGAAUAUUGGACAAUGGGCGAAAGCCUGAUCCAGCAAUACCGCGUGUGUGAAGAAGGCCUGCGGGUUGUAAAGCACUUUCAGUGGGGAAGAUAAUGACGUUACCCACAGAAGAAGCACCGGCUAACUCUGUGCCAGCAGCCGCGGUAAUACAGAGGGUGCAAGCGUUAAUCGGAAUUACUGGGCGUAAAGCGCGCGUAGGCGGCUUAUUAAGUCAGAUGUGAAAGCCCCGGGCUCAACCUGGGAACUGCAUUCGAAACUGACUGACUAGAGUAUGGUAGAGGGUGGGUGGAAUUCCUAGUGUAGCGGUGAAAUGCGUAGAUAUUAGGAGGAACAUCAGUGGCGAAGGCGACCACCUGGACCAAUACUGACGCUGAGGUGCGAAAGCGUGGGGAGCAAAC
RNAcentral lists this ribosomal RNA (701 nucleotides) under uncultured bacterium. Its description in RNAcentral is "bacterial SSU rRNA". It matches the Rfam family "Bacterial small subunit ribosomal RNA", at positions 40 to 773 of the family's 1533-position model. The record is from RNAcentral.